Molecule: ribosomal RNA, 2832 nt
Filed under: Phycisphaerae bacterium
Lineage: Bacteria; Pseudomonadati; Planctomycetota; Phycisphaerae
Description: 23S ribosomal RNA
Rfam family: Bacterial large subunit ribosomal RNA
Source: RNAcentral
UGCGGUCAAGCUACUAAGGGUGCAUGGUGGAUGCCUAGGCGUGCAGAGGCGAUGAAGGACGUUGGAGGCUGCGAUAAGCCUCGGGGAGCCGCCAACCAGGCUUUGAUCCGAGGAUUUCCGAAUGGGGCAACCCGGCGUUGCUGGGCAACCAGACAGCGUCACUUCCGGCUGAAUGCAUAGGCCGGACAGAGCGAACCCAGGAAACUGAGACAUCUAAGUACCUGGAGGAAAGGAAAUCAACCGAGACUCCGUCAGUAGCGGCGAGCGAACGCGGACAAGCCCAUGAGCUGCGCGUAGCAGAGUUGAACGGCAUGGAAAGGCCGGCCAUAGAAGGUGACAGCCCUGUAAGCGGACGCGAAGCGCGGCGAUCGAGUAGGUCGGAGCUCGUGAAACUCUGACUGAACAUGCGGGGACCACCCUGCAAGGCUAAGUACUCCUGCACGACCGAUAGUGAAGAAGUAAGGCGACUGAAAGGUGGAAAGAACCCCUGCAAGGGGAGGCAUUGAACCUGAAACCAUGUACCUACAAGCGGUCGGAGGCCGAUUGCGGGCUUGUCCCGCACGGCUGACGGCGUACCUCUUGGAUAAUGGACCGGCGAGUUAACGUUUGCGGCGAGGCUAAGCCCCUCAGGGGUGGAGCCGUAGCGAAAGCGAGUCUGAACAGGGCGCCCAGUCGCAGGUGUUAGACCCGAAACCACGUGAUCUACCCAUGGCCAGGAUGAAGGGCGGGUAAAACCGCCUGGAGGACCGAAGCCGUGAACGUUGAAAAGUUCUGGCAUGAGCUGUGGGGAGGAGUCAAAGUCUAAUCAAACGUGGAGAUAUCUGGUUCUCCCCGAAAUGUCUUUUGGGACAGCCUCGGGCCACUACCUCGCGGGGGUAGAGCUACUGAAUGAGACGGCGGGCCUACCCGGCUACGCCCCUCAAUCAAACUCCGAAUACCGCGAGGACUAUCCCGGGAGUGAGAAUGCGGGCGCUAAUGUCCGUGCUCAAAAGGGAAACAACCCACAUCGCCAGCUAAGGCCCCAAAGCCACGCUCAGUGCAUAAGGAAGUUCGCUUUCCGAGACAGCCAGGAUGUUGGCUUAGAAGCAGCCACCAUUUAAAAAGUGCGUAAUAGCUUACUGGUCGAGAAGGCGGGCGCCGAUAAUGAUCGGGACUAAGCGUGGCGCCGAAGCUGCGGGCGCCGUAAGGCGCGGUAGGGGAGCGUACCACAGGAGAUACAAGCCAUACCGUAAGGAGUGGUGUCGGCCUGUGGUAGUGAGAAUGCCGGUAUGAGUAACGAUAAAGCGGGUGAGAAUCCCGCUCGCCGUAAGCCCAAGGAUUCCUGGGGAAGGUAAAUCCGCCCAGGGUUAGUCGGAGCCUAAGUCGAGGCUGAAAGGCGUAGACGAUGGUCAGCAGGUUAAUAUUCCUGCACUCCGUAUGUAGCCGACGGGGACGUCACUCGAAAGCGUGCAGCGCUACUAGAUCGCGUAGGCCCGCUUUGUUGGCCGUGCACGUGGACGGGUGACCGAGAAAAGCCGCUCGGAGCAAGAAUGCGGAUCCGUACCAAAACUGACACAGGUGGGCGAGGAGAGUAUCCUAACGGCGCUCGAGAGAACGGUCCUUAAGGAACUAGGCAAUUUGACCCCGUAACUUCGGGAUAAGGGGGCCCGUCUCCCUCGGGAGCGGGCGCAGAGAAACGGCUCUGGGAACUGUUUAUCAAAAACACAGCUCUGUGCCAACUCGUAAAGAGGACGUAUACAGAGUGACGCGUGCUCGGUGCCGGAAUGUUAAGGAAGUCGGUUAGCCGCAAGGCGAAGCUGGCGACCGAAGCACCGGUAAACGGCGGCCGUAACUAUGACGGUCCUAAGGUAGCGAAGUUCCUUGUCGGGUAAGUUCCGACGUGCAUGAACCGCGUAAUCACUGGAGCAGUGUCUCAAGGACCGACUCGGUGAAAUUGAAGUCGCGGUGAAGAUACCGUGUACCCGCAGCAAGACGGAAAGACCCCGUGAACCUUCACUGCAGCCUGGUAUUGAUGCCGGCUAUCGCAUGCGUAGGAUAGGUGGGAGGCUUUGAUCCGCCGGUUCCGGCCGGCGGGGAGCCAACGGUGAAAUACCACCCUUGUGCUACUCGUCGUCUAACCCCGUACCGUGAAUCCGGGCGGGGGACAGUGCUAGGUGGGCAGUUUGACUGGGGCGGUCUCCUCCCAAAAGGUAACGGAGGAGUACAAAGGUCGGCUCAGCACGGUUGGCAAUCGUGCGUCGAGUGCAAGGGCACAAGCCGGCUUAACUGUGAGACACAAAGGUCGAACAGAUGCGAAAGCAGGUCCUAGUGAUCCGGUGAUCCCGCGUGGAAGGGUCAUCGCUCAACUGAUAAAAGGUACUCCGGGGAUAACAGGCUGAUGACUACCGAGCGUCCAUAGCGGCGUAGUCGUUUGGCACCUCGAUGUCGGCCCAUCACAUCCUGGGGCUGUAGGCGGUCCCAAGGGUUCGGCUGUUCGCCGAUUAAAGUGGUACGCGAGCUGGGUUCAGACCGGCGUGAGCCAGGUCGGUCCCUAUCUGCUGUGGGCGUGCGAGUCUUGAGAGGCCAUUACUCUAGUACGAGAGGAUUGGGUGGUACAUGCCUCUGGUGUACCUGUUGUCGCGCUAGCGGCACGGCAGGGUAGCUAAGCAUGGAAUGGAUAAACGCUGAAUGCAUCUAAGCGUGAAGCCGUCCUCAAGAUUAGGACUCGUUGCUCCCUUCGGGUGAGCUGAAGACCCCUGGUAGACCACCAGGUUAAUAGGCCGGAUGUGUAAGUGCAGAGAUGCACUCAGCUUACCGGUACUAACGGUCGAAAUGCUUGGCCGCAUUUAUGAU